GAGAGGACACAACAAAGCCUUCUCCGCCUCCGAGGCGGACCCGACCCUCAGCACUGCAGGCCGAGCCGAGGAGGGCGCCCGGGCGGAGGGGAGGCGGGCGAGGCGCUGCCGGCGGAUGCAGCUUUCACGGACAGCGCUGCUGCAGAGCCUUUUGUGGGCGUCUUCACUUCUCUUGAGUGUGAUACCUAGGACUGGAACUGCGAAACAUAGGGCUGGACGAGCUUCAUGGUAUUAGAAACUGCCUGCUUUCCAAGGUGAUGCACACCGUUCGGCACUCCCACCAGCCCUGUUGGAGCCUCCAGUUGCUCCACGCCCUGGCGUGGGCUCACUCCCUGAGCCUGCUGUGGGGCCUCCACCUGCUGCCCUCACUUCUACCUGGGCUGUCUAGACUCUUGCUUCUUUUAUAAAAGGUCAGAGGAUGUCACUCACCCUUUAACAUCCUCCCAAUAAAAGCCAAGUUCCUUUCAGUGGCCCGCAGAGUCCGACGUGACCUGCCCUGCUCUAAGCAAAUUCUGCCCCGUCCCUGCUCCUCCUCGGCAGCCCUAUGGCCUCUGGCUUUCCCCGGGCCUCACUUCAUUUUCCUCCACAGCCGGCAUCGCAGCAUGACAUACUAUGGGGUCGUUUGUGUGCCUGUUGCCUGCCUCCCCUCUCGGAAUGUAGCCUUCACGAGGACAGGGGCUUGUUUCCUGCACGCUCUUCACUCAGGCUUCGCACUUCCGGGGUUAAGCAAAUGGAAGAUCCUGUGAGCAGGGAAACGGUCAGACGGCGUUAGGGGCUGGUGCCCUGCAGAGGACGAAAGGGAAACUUCAUGGGCUGAGGCCAGGUCAUCUGCAGGGUGGUGUUCAAAUUCAUGGUGCAAAGUCAGCAGGCGCCCAGAUGGGAAAAGAGAGGUCUGGGUCACUUGCGACCCUCCUCUCAGGCUGCUUCUGACAGGCCCAGGUCACAGCCAGCUUCAGGGGAGCUGUGUUGGGUCCUUCCGAACUCCUGGAAUGAUGUGACCUCUCCGGCUCUGGCCCAGGCCCAGGCCCCGGGCCUCCAGGUCAGACUCGGCCCAGACCCCGGUUCACAGGGAAGCAGAGCCUGGGGCUGGCCUCCACCCGCUCAGACGCCCGCACACAGGCCAGGGGAGGGGCUUGGGGACAGCUCUAGGAGGGUCCCUGUUUGCGCUGUAGGUGUCCAAGGCGGGGUGUGCAGAGUCGAGGUUGCCGCACACCUGAGGGACUCUCGUGUGAGGACAGCGCAGGGCUGGAAGCUGGACUGCGGAAGGCGAAUGAGACCGCACUGCUGGCUCCCUCCAAGCCACGGACUGGCUCCUGUGCAGUCUCGGGCGAGUGUGCUGUUGUCAUGUGCGUGUUUUAACUGAGAUGUGAGCUGGCACGUUUUCUCCACCCAGCUCCAUCCUGGGUCGCCCCACGUUGCUGCACCUGUGGCUCCGGUGCCCUGGGGUCCCCACUGUGGGCGGCCCCGCAUUUCGCCCACCUGCUUCCCAAAAUAUGGAAUCCCAGUGACCUCCAACUUGUCGCCAUGACAAACCACUCUCAUUCAUAUCCUCAAACACGGUGCUCUGAGCCUAAAUGAGGGUUUCCUUAGAGAGAGAUCUGGGGACCGAACCGUAGGGACAGAGCUCCUGUCUAAGCUGGGCCUGUGGUGAGGUCUUCCCGGCGGUACACUUUAAUCCCACAGCAGGGCUUGCUGGCCACCCUGCUGCAUCCCCGCCAACACCGGGCAGGAUCUAGCCUCCAAAGCUUUGCCAGUCUAAUAGUAUAAAACGAUACCUCGGUGUUAUUUUGGUUUUGCAUUUCCAUGGUGAACAAUGAGUUUGAGCAUUUUUGUUCAAAAGUCCUUUGGGAGUUCAAGACCAGACUGGGCCACCGGGAGUUCAAGA
Long non-coding RNA from Cercocebus atys (sooty mangabey), 1885 nucleotides. RefSeq lists it as uncharacterized. Lineage: Eukaryota; Metazoa; Chordata; Mammalia; Primates; Cercopithecidae. The record is from RefSeq and is a predicted model, not a curated record. The transcript is spliced from 3 exons.